CAGUAGCCGCGGGAAUACGUAGGUGGCAAGCGUUGUCCGGAAUUAUUGGGCGUAAAGCGCGCGCAGGCGGAUAGGUCAGUCUGUCUUAAAAGUUCGGGGCUUAACCCCGUGAUGAGAUGGAAACUGCCAAUCUAGAGUAUCGGAGAGGAAAGUGGAAUUCCUAGUGUAGCGGUGAAAUGCGUAGAUAUUAGGAGGAACACCAGUGGCGAAAGCGGCUUUCUGGACGAAAACUGACGCUGAGGCGCGAAAGCCAGGGGAGCGAACGGGAUUAGAUACCCGUGUAGUCCCUGUCUCUUAUACA
RNAcentral lists this ribosomal RNA (301 nucleotides) under uncultured bacterium. Its description in RNAcentral is "partial 16S ribosomal RNA". It matches the Rfam family "Bacterial small subunit ribosomal RNA", at positions 509 to 809 of the family's 1533-position model. The record is from RNAcentral.